AGAGUUUGAUCAUGGCUCAGGACGAACGCUGGCGGCGUGCUUAAUACAUGCAAGUCGAGCGAGGUUACUGUUUUGGAUCCCUUCGGGGUGAAGAAGCUUUAACCUAGCGGCGGACGGGUGAGUAACGCGUGGGUAACCUACCCCAAAGUCCAGGAUAACAGCGGGAAACCGCUGCUAAUACCGGAUGCCUUUACCUUGGGGCAUCUUGAGGUAAAGAAAGGCAACGCUUUGGGAUGGGCCCGCGUCCCAUUAGCUAGUUGGUGAGGUAACGGCUCACCAAGGCGACGAUGGGUAGCCGGCUUGAGAGGGUGGACGGCCACACUGGGACUGGGACACGGCCCAGACUCCUACGGGAGGCAGCAGUAGGGAAUAUUGCGCAAUGGACGGAAGUCUGACGCAGCGACGCCGCGUGAGCGAUGAAGGUCUUCGGAUCGUAAAGCUCUGUCCUUGGGGAAGAAGGUCUUCGGACUUGACGGUACCCAAGAAGAAAGCCCCGGCUAACUACGUGCCAGCAGCCGCGGUAAUACGUAGGGGGCGAGCGUUGUCCGGAAUUACUGGGCGUAAAGGGUGCGUAGGCGGCCCUUUAAGUCGGAUGUGAAAGCCCGCGGCUUAACCGCGGAAUGGCAUUCGAAACUGGAGGGCUUGAGUGUCGGAGAGGGUAGUGGAAUUCCCAGUGUAGCGGUGAAAUGCGUAGAUAUUGGGAGGAACACCAGUGGCGAAGGCGACUACCUGGACGAUAACUGACGCUGAGGCACGAAAGCUAGGGGAGCAAACAGGAUUAGAUACCCUGGUAGUCCUAGCCGUAAACGAUGGGUACUAGGUGUGGGUGGUUUCGAUACCAUCCGUGCCGUAGUUAACGCAUUAAGUACCCCGCCUGGGGAGUACGUGCGCAAGCAUGAAACUCAAAGGAAUUGACGG
This 918-nucleotide ribosomal RNA is filed under the name uncultured bacterium. Its description in RNAcentral is "bacterial SSU rRNA". It matches the Rfam family "Bacterial small subunit ribosomal RNA", at positions 8 to 916 of the family's 1533-position model. The record is from RNAcentral.